Molecule: ribosomal RNA, 661 nt
Filed under: uncultured marine euryarchaeote
Lineage: Archaea; Methanobacteriati; Methanobacteriota
Description: bacterial SSU rRNA
Rfam family: Archaeal small subunit ribosomal RNA
Source: RNAcentral
CAUGCGAGUCUGAGCAUUAGCUCGGCGUACCGCUCAGUAACACGUGGGUAACCUGCUCUAUCGUUUUGAAUAACCUCGGGAAACUGAGAACAAUACAUCAUAGUCCACUACGCCUGGAACGGUGAGUGGAUGAAGGUAGGAUGGGCCUGCGGCGUAUCAGGUUGUAGGGGGUGUAAUGGACCUCCUAGCCAUCGACGCGUACGGGUGUUGGGAGACAUAGCCCGGAGAUGGAUUCUGAGACACGAAUCCAGGCCCUACGGGGCGCAGCAGUUACGAAAACUUGGCAAUGCGGGAAACCGUGACCAGGGAACUCCAAGUGAGUCUCUUUUAGGGGCUCCUUUCUUGACUCUAAAACGGUCUUGGAAUAAGGGGUGGGUAAGGACGGUGCCAGCCGCCGCGGUAAUACCGGCGCCUCAAGUGGUCGUCGCUUUUAUUGGGCCUAAAACGUCCGUAGCCGGUUUGGUACAUUCGUGGGUAAAUCAGCUCGCUCAACGAGUUGAAUUCUGCGAGGACGGCCAGACUAGGACCGGGAGAGGUGUGGGGAACUCUCACGGUAGGGGUAAAAUCCUGUCAUCCUGAGAGGACCACCUGUUGCGAAGGCGCCCACACUAGAACGGAUCCGACGGUCAGGGACGAAGCCUUAGGGGCACGAACCGGAUUA